Molecule: long non-coding RNA, 316 nt
Filed under: Gossypium barbadense (sea-island cotton)
Lineage: Eukaryota; Viridiplantae; Streptophyta; Magnoliopsida; Malvales; Malvaceae
Description: long non-coding RNA (GBAR_LNC012561)
Source: RNAcentral
UGGCGUGUUGUGUAAUUGUGAGGUCUGAGGUUUAAGUCCUGGGAUUCACAAUGGAAUAUUUAUUUUAUUGUUUGAGUUGUGUAGGAGGUGGAGUUGGACUGGAACUCUGUGAUUGAAGUGGUCAUAAAAAAAAGAAAAAUAAGGAAUUUUCCUAAUGGUUGAAAGUAAUCUCACAUCUGGAAGCUAACAUGAGCAUUGGUGAGAAGCUAGCUUGGUGAGGGGGGAAGUGAUUAAGACUUAAUGCAGGAUGUGCCAAAGUUGGUGAUUGUGAACUUCGGCGUAUUUUCAUAAACAGGUGUGUAUUCACGCCCUUUUU